CCUACGGGUGGCUGCAGUAGGGAAUUUUGCGCAAUGGGCGAAAGCCUGACGCAGCAACACCGCGUGGAGGAUGAAGUCUCUUGGGACGUAAACUCCUGUCAGCUGGGAAGAUUAUGACGGUACCAGCAGAGGAAGCAUCGGCUAACUACGUGCCAGCAGCCGCGGUAAGACGUAGGAUGCAAGCGUUGUCCGGAUUUAUUGGGCGUAAAGAGUUCGUAGGCGGUUGCCUAAGUCUGAUGUUAAAGCUCGGAGCUUAACUCCGAAUCAGCAUCGGA
This 275-nucleotide ribosomal RNA is filed under the name uncultured Vampirovibrio sp. RNAcentral describes it as "partial 16S ribosomal RNA". It matches the Rfam family "Bacterial small subunit ribosomal RNA", at positions 338 to 630 of the family's 1533-position model. The record is from RNAcentral. Lineage: Bacteria; Bacillati; Candidatus Melainabacteria; Vampirovibriophyceae; Vampirovibrionales; Vampirovibrionaceae.